GACGAACGCUGGCGGCGUGCUUAACACAUGCAAGUCGAACGGAAAGGCCCGGCUUUUGUGGGGUGCUUGAGUGGCGAACGGGUGAGUAACACGUGAGUAACCUGCCCUUGACUUUGGGAUAACUUCAGGAAACUGGGGCGAAUACCGGAUAGGAGCUCCUGCUGCAUGGGGGGGGUUGGAAAGUUUCGGCGGUUGGGGCUGGACUCGCGGGUUAUCAGCUUGUUGGUGGGGUAGUGGCUUACCAAGGCUUUGAAGGAUAGCCGGCCUGAGAGGGGUACCGGGCACAUUGGGACUGAGAGACGGACCAGACGCCUACGGGCGGCAGCAGUGGGGAAUAUUGCACAAUGGGCGGGAGCCUGAUGCAGCAGCGCCGCGUGCGUGAUGACGGGCUUCGGGGUGUAAACCGCUUUCGCCUGUGACGAAGCGUGAGUGACGGUAAUGGGUAAAGAAGCACCGGCUAACUACGUG
RNAcentral lists this ribosomal RNA (468 nucleotides) under uncultured bacterium. Its description in RNAcentral is "partial 16S ribosomal RNA". It matches the Rfam family "Bacterial small subunit ribosomal RNA", at positions 28 to 507 of the family's 1533-position model. The record is from RNAcentral.